Molecule: long non-coding RNA, 860 nt
Filed under: Phascolarctos cinereus (koala)
Lineage: Eukaryota; Metazoa; Chordata; Mammalia; Diprotodontia; Phascolarctidae
Description: lncRNA (ENSPCIG00000012978.2)
Source: RNAcentral
AGGGGAUUUCAGGUUCCAGAACAGCAGGGGAAGAGGAUUUUCAAAUCUCCAAACAAACUUCAUUCCUGCACCUCUGAAGAGCAUUGGCAGGCUUGAAAUGUUUGUCCUCAGUUUCUAGGGCUCCUGUUCCAGCUCCGUUGCCACUGGGGAGAGGUGAGCUGGUCAACCCAUAGCUACGCAAGAGUUCAGCAUAAAGACUGCUGGAAUGCUACCCUGGCUCCACUUUCCUCCAUUCUCUUCCAGGUCAAUUCCUUUGCACCUGGGGGUGGAAUUUCAACGUAUUUCCCUCCUCCUCUAGCCCACUGGCCGUACUUUCACAUUUGGUUCUGCCCCAGAUUUACACAGAAUGAUAUUAAUGAAAAAAGGCACACCCUUGCUUCAGCUUCAAAAAACCAAGAGGAGAUGAAUAACAAAAUGAAAGAACACAUUUUGCCCAAACUUCAACCCCGACUUUCAAUGACAAUGCCUAUAAAGAAUGAGCAGAACGCCAAGAAGACUAGAAUGAAAGCCCAGUCAUCCAAGGCCUGGUUGGAUGAUUUUCGACAAAAUAUAAAGACCGUUAAAAGUCUCAUGAAUCCAGAGAGCAGCUCCAAGGUGGUGGAGAGUGACAAUGAAGCUGCAGAUUCCAGAAAAGGGGUUAGACAUGAAGAGUUUCAUAUAUUCUCACCUUUUGCUGGAGCAAGUUGUGAAAGGUAACAGAAGAGAGAAAAAUCCAAAGUCACAAUUAAUGGACAUUAAAGAGAAAGUACAGUGUUCUGUAGAACUGUCAAUGGGACCCACUGAUCCCUGCAUAAGAAUUCCUGUGGGUGCAUGCUGACCAAAUUUUAAAAUUUAAUGUUCUUGAUUUUGUUAAAUAUUGC